Molecule: ribosomal RNA, 521 nt
Filed under: uncultured archaeon
Lineage: Archaea
Description: bacterial SSU rRNA
Rfam family: Archaeal small subunit ribosomal RNA
Source: RNAcentral
CUUUUCAUGACUCUAAAACGGUCUUGGAAUAAGGGGUGGGUAAGGACGGUGCCAGCCGCCGCGGUAAUACUGGCGCCUCAAGUGGUCGUCGCUUUUAUUGGGCCUAAAACGUCCGUAGCCGGUUUGGCACAUUCGUGGGUAAAUCAACUCGCUCAACGAGUUGAAUUCUGCGAGGACGGCCAGACUAGGGACCGGGAGAGGUGUGGGGAACUCUCAGGGUAGGGGUAAAAUCCUGUCAUCCUGAGAGGACCACCUGUUGCGAAGGCGCCACACUAGAACGGAUCCGACGGUCAGGGACGAAGCCUAGGGGCACGAACCGGAUUAGAUACCCGGGUAGUCCUAGGUGUAAACGCUGUGGACUUGGUGUUGGGGAAGACUAGAGCUUUCCCAGUGCCGUAGCGAAGGUGUUGAGUCCACUGCCUGGGGAGUACGGUCGCAAGGCUGAAACUUAAAGGAAUUGGCGGGGGAGCACUGCAACCGGAGGAUUGUGCGGUUUAAUUGGAGUCAACGCCGGAAAUCGA